AUACCCCGCUAUUCACACCAAACAAACCCUUAUUCCCCUAAAACCCCUCACCUUCUCCUCUCUCCUCCGAAUGGGCCUUCAAUCCACCAAACAAGGUAUUAGCAUUAAUUGUUUAGCUUCUUUUUUAUCUCACCUCUGCGUUUUUAACGUUAAUCCUGUAAAACCUUAAUGAUUUUUGUUGUUACAUGUUUGAAAUUACGAAUUCCUAUUGGUUGCUAGAGAACCCUACGUAUUGGUGAUUUGUUGACCAAAUCUGGUCCUUUAAUAUGUUUAUGUUUUAAUCUCGACCCUACAACGAUAGGAUCGUGGGGAAGAAACCUCAAAUUUGAGGAUUGUCCCACAUUGUUUAGGGUUAGGGUUUGAGGAUUUUGGGCUUCUAUAGAUAGAACCCCUCAUUUCACAUUUUGCAGGGAGAGAGAGGAGAAUAUCAGAUAUUCACACUAAAAACUCGAAAAUUGGGGUUUUUGCUUAUUGCUAGAACCUAUCCUUUUUCAGAGUUAAGUUUCAAAUUUUAAAGUUUAUUUCUUGUUGUGAUUUGGGGCUCAGUAUGAGGCAAAAAGGGGGGGAAAAUCAUCCAAAGGUCCAAGCUCUCUUCUAAGCUGUGCAACAAGAGGGACUGGGCCUAACUCUGUUGUGGGCCUGAUUUCGUAUAUUGGAAAUGGAAGCUAAUAUUUAUUGAAGGCCCAACCAUGGGUGUAAAUGGUGAAGGCCCAGCUAUGGGUAAAAAUAGCACUAAUGGGGCGGGUAGCCCAUUAGUAUUCUAAAUUCUUCCUCCUCCUCCUAUGUUUAUUUGUUAUGUUUUUUUUUUGUAAAAUUAAACCUUAUUAUUAGUGGAACCUUGUAGGAUGUAGAUACUAGGAUUAUCACCUAGUUAAUUGGGUAAUUAAGAUAAAAGAAGUUCAAAUCUUUUCAAACUUUGGGCUUAAGACCAAUUUUUUGGGAAA
Lycium barbarum (goji berry) is the source of this 944-nucleotide long non-coding RNA. RefSeq lists it as uncharacterized. The record is from RefSeq and is a predicted model, not a curated record. The transcript has 2 exons. Lineage: Eukaryota; Viridiplantae; Streptophyta; Magnoliopsida; Solanales; Solanaceae.